This 56-nucleotide transfer RNA is filed under the name Rhabdias kafunata. RNAcentral describes it as "tRNA-Phe". Lineage: Eukaryota; Metazoa; Nematoda; Chromadorea; Rhabditida; Rhabdiasidae. The record is from RNAcentral.
ACUCUUUUAGUUUAUAUAAAAAUGUUACUCUGAAGAAGUAGAGAAUUUUAGGAGUG